GUAAACCUGAGAAACCCAAAAGAUCGAAUGGGGGGAUUCAUCGUCAGCGGCUCCGGCCUCCCGUCUGCGCGUGAUGCCCCGACCACGGACCUUCGCGGUUCCGCGGCGAGGGCACGCCGUCUUCGGCGAAUGUCUGGAGCCGUAGUCGUGCACUUCUCCUCUAGUAGAACGUCGCGACCCGUUGAGUGUCGGUCUACGGCCCGAGUGGACGCCUGCCACGUCGUCUCGUACGUACGCGGCAGACCCUCGGUCGCCCGGCCGGCUGCUCGGCGGUACUCGCACGGUAUCGGGCCGCAACCAAUCCAUCUUGAAUGUGUUUGCGUCGGGCCCGCCGCAAGCUGGUUCAGCAACUCCGGAGGUCGGACUUAGGGCCGUCCCCGGGACUGGCCAGCUGUUGGCAGGCGGUGUCCUCGGACUGGCCAAGCUUCGAAUUACCGGUCGGCGACGCUACUGCUUUGGGUACUCUCAGGACCCGUCUUGAAACACGGACCAAGGAGUCUAACAUGUGUGCGAGUCAUUGGGACAGAAAAACCUAAAGGCGAAAUGAAAGUAAAGGUCGGCCUCAGCGUCGACCGAGGGAGGAUGGGCCGCGUCACGAUGCGGCUCCGCACUCCCGGGGCGUCUCGUUCUCAUUGCGAGAAGAGGCGCACCCAGAGCAUACACGUUGGGACCCGAAAGAUGGUGAACUAUGCCUGGUCAGGACGAAGUCAGGGGAAACCCUGAUGGAGGUCCGUAGCGAUUCUGACGUGCAAAUCGAUCGUCGGAACUGGGUAUAGGGGCGAAAGACUAAUCGAACCAUCUAGUAGCUGGUUCCCUCCGAAGUUUCCCUCAGGAUAGCUGGCACUCGCUCGAUCGAGUCUCAUCUGGUAAAGCGAAUGAUUAGAGGCCUUGGGGCCGAAACGACCUCAACCUAUUCUCAAACUUUAAAUGGGUGAGAUCUCUGGCUUGCUUGAACUAUGAAGCCACGAGAUUUCGGAUCAGAGUGGCCAAGUGGGCCAAUUUUGGUAAGCAGAACUGGCGCUGUGGGAUGAACCAAACGCGGAGUUAAGGCGCCUAAGUCGACGCUUAUGGGAUACCAUGAAAGGCGUUGGUUGCUUAAGACAGCAGGACGGUGGCCAUGGAAGUUGGAAUCCGCUAAGGAGUGUGUAACAACUCACCUGCCGAAGCAACUAGCCCUGAAAAUGGAUGGCGCUGAAGCGUCGCGCCUAUACUCCGCCGUCAGUGGCAAGUGGGGCGGGACGUGUCCCACUCGUUGGGCCGUCCUCCAUGAAGCCCUGAUGAGUAGGAGGGUCGCGGCGGUGUGCGCAGAAGGGUCUGGGCGAGAGCCUGCCUGGAGCCGCCGUCGGUGCAGAUCUUGGUGGUAGUAGCAAAUACUCCAGCGAGGCCCUGGAGGACUGACGUGGAGAAGGGUUUCGUGUGAACAGCCGUUGCACACGAGUCAGUCGAUCCUAAGCCCUAGGAGAAAUCCUAUGUCGAUGUGGCGUUGUGCCAAAAACUAUAUAUAUUGAACUAUACAAGACACACGCCCGUCGGGCGAAAGGGAAUCCGGUUCCUAUUCCGGAACCCGGCAGCGGAACCGCAUACCAUUCGGGCCCUCGUAAGAGUGUUCGUCGGGGUAACCCAAAAUGACCUGGAGACGCCGUCGGGAGAUCCGGGAAGAGUUUUCUUUUCUGUAUAAGCGUUCGAGUUCCCUGGAAACCUCUAGCAGGGAGAUAGGGUUUGGAACGCGAAGAGCACCGCAGUUGCGGCGGUGUCCGGAUCUUCCCCUCGGACCUUGAAAAUCCAGGAGAGGGCCACGUGGAGGUGUCGCGCCGGUUCGUACCCAUAUCCGCAGCAGGUCUCCAAGGUA
RNAcentral lists this ribosomal RNA (1849 nucleotides) under Philanthus triangulum (European beewolf). RNAcentral's name for it is "eukaryotic LSU rRNA". It matches the Rfam family "Eukaryotic large subunit ribosomal RNA", at positions 415 to 1874 of the family's 3401-position model. The record is from RNAcentral. Lineage: Eukaryota; Metazoa; Arthropoda; Insecta; Hymenoptera; Crabronidae.